RNAcentral lists this ribosomal RNA (279 nucleotides) under uncultured Staphylococcus sp. Its description in RNAcentral is "partial 16S ribosomal RNA". It matches the Rfam family "Bacterial small subunit ribosomal RNA", at positions 83 to 355 of the family's 1533-position model. The record is from RNAcentral. Lineage: Bacteria; Bacillati; Bacillota; Bacilli; Caryophanales; Staphylococcaceae.
CCUUUGACGUUAGCGGCGGACGGGUGAGUAACACGUGGGUAACCUACCUAUAAGACUGGGAUAACUUCGGGAAACCGGAGCUAAUACCGGAUAAUAUUUCUAACCGCAUGGUUCGAUAGUGAAAGAUGGUUUUGCUAUCACUUAUAGAUGGACCCGCGCCGUAUUAGCUAGUUGGUAAGGUAACGGCUUACCAAGGCGACGAUACGUAGCCGGCCUGAGAGGGUGAUCGGCCACACUGGAACUGAGACACGGUCCAGACUCCUACGGGAGGCAGCAGUC